GCUUGGGGAGUGAGAGGAGAGGGCGUCGGUGAUUCAAGGUCUUUGGGGCAUCUGCCGCUGCCUGCCGGGGGAGGGGCUCGGCGUCUUCGGCCCGUGGAGCGCCCCAGCAGCGGAGGGGGGAUUUGAACUCGGCACUUCCAGUCUCUUGGUCUUCCUGCCGGGGAGCAGCUGCACCUGCCAAUGGAGGCUCCCGCUGGCGAAAGGCGCAGGAUGUGGGCCCGUGUCUCAAGGCAGGUGGUGAAGCUCUACGCCCUGGGCCUGCUGCUCUCCCUUCUCUCCGCCCUCUUUGGGCUCAUGGACUUCCUUGGGGAGUGGGUGUCCCGCCCACGCCUGGCGCCCCCCCUCCCUGGCCGGCGGGAGCAGCCCGAAGGGGGCCCGCUGGUGGACGCCCCCCGGCACCACCUUGGCCGCAGGGGAGGCCGGACAGCAGCCUUGAAUGGCCGGCCAAGGCUUUGAGGGGCUGGCUGCGACCUGCUCCUCUGUGUGGGUGGGUGUGUCCUGGGGGGUGGGGGGUGUUCUGAACUGGGAGGGGGUCCACAUCUGUGCUGUGCUCCAAGCCAUGCCCGCCUUGCAAGAAUGUCUCCAGUCUGCUGCCAGCCGUGAAGGAAACUGAGGCCCACUCGGAGGACUUGAGGCCGCCCCCUUGCGUCACAGGGCACUUCUCUGCCUCCUCCGGACGACUGGCCAGGCUUCCAUCUGCAGUGGACGGUCCUCCCUAUAAGCAGGCCCGCCAGGACUCUGCCCCAGCUCUUGGUGCCAGCCUCAGGGCUGCCCGUCCCUUGAGGGCUUUCCAGCAGGACAGGCUGGGCAUCAGCAGAAGGAAGGCGUGGUGGGGGGCGGAGGCAAGUUGGGCCUCCAGACUGUUAGGCCGCCUUUCUGUGGGUCUCUGUCUGGGGCAGGGCAGGGCACAAGGACUGCGUUUCAUACGCUCUUCUCUCUGUUGGCUUCCUAAGGAAGAAAGUGGCCCCUCCCCCCAUUCCCCCAGCAACGUCUGCAGUGUCCUUGGUGCUAUUGAAAUAAAUGCUUGUUGUUUUCUUUUUAAAA
Long non-coding RNA from Heteronotia binoei (common prickly gecko), 1044 nucleotides. RefSeq lists it as uncharacterized. NCBI's taxonomy places the organism in Eukaryota, Metazoa, Chordata, Lepidosauria, Squamata, Gekkonidae. The record is from RefSeq and is a predicted model, not a curated record. The transcript is spliced from 2 exons.